CCUACGGGUGGCAGCAGUCGAGAAUCAUUCACAAUGGGGGAAACCCUGAUGGUGCGACGCCGCGUGGGGGAAUGAAGGUCUUCGGAUUGUAAACCCCUGUCAUGUGGGAGCAAAUUAAAAAGAUAGUACCACAAGAGGAAGAGACGGCUAACUCUGUGCCAGCAGCCGCGGUAAUACAGAGGUCUCAAGCGUUGUUCGGAAUCACUGGGCGUAAAGCGUGCGUAGGCUGUUUCGUAAGUCGUGUGUGAAAGGCGCGGGCUCAACCCGCGGACGGCACAUGAUACUGCGAGACUAGAGUAAGGGAGGGGGAACCGGAAUUCUCGGUGUAGCAGUGAAAUGCGUAGAGAGCGAGAGGAACACUCGUGGCGAAGGCGGGUUCCUGGACAUUAACUGACGCUGAGGCACGAAGGCCAGGGGAGCGAAAGGGAUUAGAUACCCCGGUAGUC
RNAcentral lists this ribosomal RNA (446 nucleotides) under uncultured bacterium. RNAcentral describes it as "partial 16S ribosomal RNA". It matches the Rfam family "Bacterial small subunit ribosomal RNA", at positions 338 to 795 of the family's 1533-position model. The record is from RNAcentral.